CCCUACGGGGUGCAGCAGGCGCGAACACUUUACAAUGCGGGAAACCGCGAUAAGGGAACCCCGAGUGCCAGUACUAAGUGCUGGCUGUCUGGAUGAAUAGAUAUCAUUUAAUAGCAAGGGCCGGGCAAGACCGGUGCCAGCCGCCGCGGUAACACCGGCGGCCCGAGUGGUAACCGAUAUUAUUGGGUCUAAAGGGUCCGUAGCCUGUUUAAUAAGUCCUUUGGGAAAUCUGGCAGCUUAACUGUCAGGCUGCUAAAGGAUACUGUUAAACUUGGGACCGGUAGACGUAGGGGGUACUCCAGGGGUAGGAGUGAAAUCUUGUAAUCCCUGGGGGACCAUCUGUGGCGAAGGCGCCCUACGAGAACGGGUCCGACGGUGAGGGACGAAAGCUAGGGGAGCAAACCGGAUUAGAUACCCGGGUAGUCCUAGCUGUAAACGAUGCUCGCUAGGUGUCAGGCACGGUGCGUCCGUGUCUGGUGCCGCAGGGAAGCCGUUAAGCGAGCCACCUGGGGAGUACGGUCGCAAGGCUGAAACUUAAAGGAAUUGGCGGGGGAGCAC
RNAcentral lists this ribosomal RNA (558 nucleotides) under uncultured archaeon. RNAcentral describes it as "bacterial SSU rRNA". It matches the Rfam family "Archaeal small subunit ribosomal RNA", at positions 321 to 879 of the family's 1478-position model. The record is from RNAcentral.